This 3257-nucleotide long non-coding RNA is filed under the name Sus scrofa (pig). RNAcentral describes it as "lncRNA (ENSSSCG00005006989.1)". The record is from RNAcentral. Lineage: Eukaryota; Metazoa; Chordata; Mammalia; Artiodactyla; Suidae.
UUAACCCACUGAGCAAGGGCAGGGACCGAACCCGCAACCUCAUGGUUCCUGGUCAGAUUCGUUAACCACGCGCCAGGAUGGGAACUCCCUCUUCCUUCUGAGUUCUAAGGAGGGUUGUUAUGUCACGCUAAGAGGGACACGGGAAGACCCUUUCAAAUGACACACUGCAAACCAGUUUUAGGAGUUUGAGCAUAUAUAGGCUGGGAGAGUCCAGGAGGCAAAAGUACAAUUACCCCACUAUGUUGCUAUCUGCCCAUUUCAUUCAACAGACAGAGAAGAACCAUCGACUCUUAUUUAUCUGUGAGAAUACUCUGCUGUGGAAGAUAAAACAAAGACAACAUAUUUGUAGAACUUGUUCUUGAGAAGCUUAAGUAGCUCACAAAGUCAAAAGAGAAGAAUAAAGAAAGUUUGAUAGAGGCAGUAGCGUUUGAGGCAUUUGCUAAAAAAGGAAUUGUGACAGUAAAGCAUGGAAAAAUGUUAGGAAUUUGACACACAGAGAGCAGUGAGAGCAAGUCACAGAAGCAGGAAAGCAGCCAGUGCUGAGGAAGAACAGAAAAUGACGGAAACUGGAUGUAUCGGCAGUUCUCAAACUUGAUCAGGUUACAAAGCACCUGGAGUUCAUGAUGUUCUCUGCAAAAUAAAAAGCUAUUUGUAGAGCUUUAUAGAAUAAUGAAAUAUUAAUCCCUCUAAAGAAGGAAGAACAAUCUAUGUUUAAGAGCAUACGAGCAAAGACUAGAAUGGAAGAAAUAAUUUAAAUUACAUUAAUGUUCACAUUUUCUACUUUAUUGGAAAAAGAGUACAAUUAUUUGGCUUUUAUGGAGAAAUAUGUUGGUUCUGGUUGUAGAACACCAAUGCUUAGCAGGAGCCUAGCUAUUUCCAGCCUCAUGGCAGCAGAGAUUAGGUACCAAACUUAAUCUUCCACUGAACACAAUGACAAAACUAAAGAAAAUGAAUUUUAAAAUACCCGUCUAAGCUAUGUCCAUGGCCAGAUAAUAAGCAAAUAUUCAGGCCAAAAAUAAAGCCAAAAGAGGAAAACAAAAAUUUCUACUUUUUGCCUUCAGAGUAUUUGGUAAACUGAGUCAAACUUAAGCCUUGGUUUCAGGUCCUCACAAAUCUGGGAAUGAAGAGCAAAGCAUAGGGCCCCCCAACAAGAAAUAUAAUAGGAAACUCCCCAGCAGAGCUGGACCUGAAAGAUGCACACAUUCAGUGCCAGGUAAGCUGGAAAUAAGCUAUCCUUCCCUUCGAGUAAACUCAGUGAAUAUCUGCCAUCUCAAACAUUACUGUGGGGCAAAAACACUCUUUUGAUAACUCUUUUUUGUGUGUGUGUCCAGGCUAGGGGUCUAAUUGGAGCUGCAGCUGGCAGCCUACGCCAGAGCCACAGCAACGGGGGAUAUGAGCCACGUCUGUAACCUGCACCACAGCUCAGAGCAAUGCUGGAUCCUUAACCCACUGAGCAAGGCCAGGGAUCAAACCCACAACCUCAUGGUUCCUAGUCAGAUUCGUUAACCACUGCGCCAUGAUGGGAACUCCCACUCUUUUGAUAACUCUUAAUGACAAGCUAACCCUCAUAAAGAUUUAAAGCCUUUCUUUGCAUGUAGUUGUUUGAGAAAACCUCAAUGCAAGAUUAUAAAAGGGUCUCAUAUUGGUAGUUCCAAUAGAGAAAAAGAAAAACAUCAAAUGCCUCUUAAAGCCACCUUUAUCCCAGUGUUAAAGAAUUCUUACAAAUAAGUUCCAGGAAAAAUAUGCAACUCACAAUCAAAAAUCACCAAAUGAGUAAGGAAACAAAAUACCAUGAGUGAAAGCUGGCAGAUAUAAUGAACAGAUGUAUGAAUCAAUGCUAAUGCUUCAGAUAUUGGAAUUUCAGACACAGAAUAUAAUGUAUUGUAUAUAUUUAAAGUUUCAAAAACUAUUAAUUAAAAAAGAAUUAACAGUUUUGAAAAGAGAAGAAAACAAUUUCUUUUACAGAUCCCAGAGUAAAGGCAGUAUAGAUAUAAAAUGACAUAUUAUGAUGCCAGAAAGAAAAUGCUCAAAACAAUCAUUUGAACAUAUCACAAGGACAUAGGAGUCAGUAUAGAUGCAUCUAAAACUGGCCAAAUCUAGGACAAAUCUAUUAAAAUAAUUAAAUACAGUAAUAAAUUCAAGACUGCUGGAAAAAACAGGUAUUCAUAAAUUUAUAUUGACUAAAUUUAAAAGGAGGGAAAAACAGCUUUUGUUGACAUUAGAAUAAUAAGAACUGGAAGGUUUGGAGAGCAUGGUGGAAUUAAAAAGGACAUCAUCAUUUUACAACCAUCCUGGUAAAGAAUGGGUCAGACUCACAGACUUUGAAAACAAACUUAUGGUUGCCAAAAGGGGACAGGUUUGGGACGGGGCCGGGGGUGGGGAAUGGAGGAUGGACUGGACGUUUGGCAUUGGCAUAUGCACACUGGUGUAUGGAAUGACUGGCCAACGGGGUCCUUUAUAGCAUAGGAAACUCCACCCAAAAAUCUAUGACAAUUUGUAUGGGAAAAGAAUCUAAAAAAGAACGAGUGUGUGAAUAUGUAUAACUGAAUCACUUUGCUGUACAGCUGAAAUCAUCACAACAUUGUAAAUCAACAACAUUUCAAGAAGACUUUAAAAAAUGAAAAAAAAGAAUGGAUCAGGCAAGAAUCAUUAACAAAUGUUAAACACUGGGAGAAAUUUUGAUGAUGAACAGGCUACUUGCAUGAUCUUUUUUUCUUUUAAUUCCUUUUUAUGGCCAUACUUGUGGCAUAUGGAAGUUCCCAGGCUUGGGGUGGAAUUGGAGCUACAACUUCAGACCUAUGCCACAGCCACAGCAACACCCGAUCCAAACUGCAUUGGCAAUGUAUGCUGCAGCUUGAGGCAAUGCUGGAUCCAUAACCCACUGAGUGAGGCCAGGGAUCAAACCCACAUCCUCACAGAGACAGCUUCGGGUUUGUUUUUUGUUGUUUUUUUUUUUUUUUUUUUUUGGUCUUUUUGCCAUUUCUAGGGCCACUCCCUCGGCAUCUGGAGGUUCCCAGGCUAGGGGUCAAGUUGGAAUUGUAGCCACAGGCCUACGCCACAGCCACAGCAAUGUGGGACCAGAGCCGUGUCUUCGACCUACACCACAGUUCACAGCAACACCGGAUCCUUAACCCAGUGAGUAAGGCCAGGGGUUGAACUCACAACCUCAUGGUUCUUAGUUGGAUUCGUUAACCACUGAGCCACAAUGGGAACUCCAGCAUCGGGUUCUUAACCCACUGAGUCACUAUUGGAACUCU